This 468-nucleotide ribosomal RNA is filed under the name uncultured bacterium. RNAcentral's name for it is "partial 16S ribosomal RNA". It matches the Rfam family "Bacterial small subunit ribosomal RNA", at positions 28 to 507 of the family's 1533-position model. The record is from RNAcentral.
GACGAACGCUGGCGGCGUGCUUAACACAUGCAAGUCGAACGGAAAGGCCCUGCUUUUGUGGGGUGCUCGAGUGGCGAACGGGUGAGUAACACGUGAGUAACCUGCCCUUGACUUUGGGAUAACUUCAGGAAACUGGGGCUAAUACCGCAUAGGAGCUCCUGCUGCAUGGUGGGGGUUGGAAAGUUUCGGCGGUUGGGGAUGGACUCGCGGCUUAUCAGCUUGUUGGUGGGGUAGUGGCUUACCAAGGCUUUGACGGGUAGCCGGCCUGAGAGGGUGACCGGCCACAUUGGGACCGAGAUACGGCCCAGACUCCUACGGGAGGCAGCAGUGGGGAAUAUUGCACAAUGGGCGGAAGCCUGAUGCAGCAACGCCGCGUGCGGGAUGACGGCCUUCGGGUUGUAAACCGCUUUCGCCUGUGACGAAGCGUGAGUGACGGUAAUGGGUAAAGAAGCACCGGCUAACUACGUG